RNAcentral lists this long non-coding RNA (1522 nucleotides) under Pogona vitticeps (central bearded dragon). RNAcentral's name for it is "lncRNA (ENSPVIG00000006673.1)". The record is from RNAcentral. Lineage: Eukaryota; Metazoa; Chordata; Lepidosauria; Squamata; Agamidae.
AUGUGUGAGACCCUGUGUGCAGUUGUCCUUCAAGAAAAUUCUGCCCUGAAUAUUUUGGCCUUUCCUUCUUGUAUUGCUUUGCUUGUCAUUCCAGGUGAGUCAAGAUCAGAAGCUCUACAAGUGUGGUUUAUUCCCUAUGUGUGUGGCAAACAAACAAAAAGCCUCCAGAAAUGUGUAGCCCGGCAUCUUACUAAAGGACAGAAGGGUCUUUCAGGAAAUAUGUCUGAUUUCAUGCCCUCCCGCUGGCUCUCCAGUGAUUAUGAAGGAAACAAGGAGAUAGUCCUUGAUGUCUAUCUGAACAAGAACAGGGAUCAGGAGGAACUGCGCUUCAGAAACCUGGAAGGUAAGGGGAGUGUGAAAUAUGGGAGGGAGAAUACAACUGCACAGUGAUGGUGUGAAGGAAUCGGAUCCAGGGAUGAAGGAAAUAUUAGUUACUCUACAUUUUGGAUAAGGUCUGUAGAUGGGCACCACCUAGAAAACUGGUUCGUUAUGGUUCAGGGCUUUUAAAAAAAGUUUGUGCAGGGAAACGUUUAGAGCCAGCAAGCCAGCUUUCCUUCUCAGAGCCAGUGCACAUGUGCUCGCUGCUCAGGCGAUAGGUGGACACAUGCGUAGAAGUUGCAGGAAGGGAAAUUGGCCCACUGCCUCUGACGGUGGUGGCGAUGGUGGCAAAGGCAGCAGGGGCAAGGGCAGGUCGGUGGAGGUGACAAGGGCAGUGGUAAGGAGCAGGUGGGCAUCCAUUUUGCUGAAACAAAUGAAAUGCCAAAGAGAAAAAAGUUUGGGUCUUUCUUUUGCUUUGCCAAAAUAGGAUUCCUGCACUGGGUUGCAAACCGAACCAGGAACCAGUCCAAUUUGUCAGGUUUUGUGGUUCAUGGUUCGGUUUGUGCUCAUCUGUCAUAAGGUCUCUUUUUCUAGACUUUGACUGCCCUCUAGUGGUUUGAGAGAGGAGUGCAGUAACUCCAACUCUUCUUAAAUCCAAGGAAGCUGCUGUAGGGAAGCCCGGCCUAGACCAUCCCGUAGCCCUUGCUUGCCUUCAGGGGCAGCCCCUUGAUCUUUGGGCCACUCCAGAGGAACUCGGCUGUAACCUCAGAGAUAAUUGUGACUGUUCUUCAUUGGACUGAAGGCCUUGGGCAACCCUUUCGGGCUAGGAAAGCUUGGCCUUCCGAUUUCAACUCUGUGUGGCUCUUUAUCUGGACCAGGGGUCUUUUUUCAGCUGAAGUGGGUUGGUAUGCUUUUUUGUUGUUAUGCGGGUGGUUUGUUUGUUCUGUUUUGUGAUUUAACGUUUCUGGUCUCAAUUUUUCCCCUCCCUCCCAAACCCACUUUUUUCUUUAUAUGCAUAGAGAUUUUUAAUUAUCUGAAUGAUCUAGAUGAAGAGACAUGGCACCUUCACCUCGAAGGCCAUUCUAAGUCAGCACCAGGUAACUGUGCCCCACUUUUUAUCUGGAUAGGGGGUCCUCUGCCUGGGUCAAAGCCAGAUUAUAUAAAUGGAAAUAAAGAAAGACAAUGUUAUGUUUAUUUAGGUAAC